Molecule: ribosomal RNA, 593 nt
Filed under: uncultured bacterium
Lineage: Bacteria
Description: bacterial SSU rRNA
Rfam family: Bacterial small subunit ribosomal RNA
Source: RNAcentral
CCUACGGGAGGCAGCAGUGGGGAAUCUUGCGCAAUGGGCGAAAGCCUGACGUAGCAACGCCGCGUGAGGGACGAAGGUUUUCUGAAUUGUAAACCUCUUUCAGCAGGGAAGAUAAUGACGGUACCUGCAGAAGAAGCACCGGCUAACUACGUGCCAGCAGCCGCGGUGAUACGUAGGGUGCAAGCGUUGUCCGGAUUUAUUGGGCGUAAAGAGCUCGUAGGCGGUUUGGUAAGUCGGUUGUGAAAUCCCCAGGCUCAACCUGGGGCCUGCAUUCGAUACUGCCAUGACUAGAGUUUGGCAGGGGACCACGGAAUUCCUGGUGUAGCGGUGGAAUGCGCAGAUAUCAGGAGGAACACCAGUAGCGAAGGCGGUGGUCUGGGCCAAUACUGACGCUGAGGAGCGAAAGCGUGGGGAGCAAACAGGAUUAGAUACCCUGGUAGUCCACGCCGUAAACGGUGGGCACUAGGUGUGGGGACUAUUCAACGGUUUCCGCGCCGACGCUAACGCAUUAAGUGCCCCGCCUGGGGAGUACGGCCGCAAGGCUAAAACUCAAAGGAAUUGACGGCNGAGAGNGCGAGCGACGACGAGGAGAG